UAAUUGAAUUAUUUAACGAUUUCCGUUUCAUAUUUGAUAUUGAUUAGCUCACCAAUCCAUAUGUAAUGGAACUCUAUUCGCUUUUCUGAUUGAUAUAUUGAUAUAUAAAAUAAUAGAAUUAGGAAAUGCUCUAUUUACUAUUCACUGAAUAAUAACUUUGUUGUUGACAAAAGAAUAAAGAUCAUUUCUAUUCCAAGGUGGGGAGUUUUAUUUUCCCCAUCGACCUA
Molecule: small RNA, 227 nt
Filed under: Solanum salicifolium
Lineage: Eukaryota; Viridiplantae; Streptophyta; Magnoliopsida; Solanales; Solanaceae
Description: SprA
Source: RNAcentral